UAAUACGUAGGAGGCUAGCGUUAUCCGGAUUUACUGGGCGUAAAGAGGGCGUAGGUGGCUUUCCAAGUCGAAUGUAAAAUCUCCCGGCUUAACUGGGAGAAAUCGUUCGAUACUGUUGGGCUAGAGGACGGCAGAGGGAGGUGGAAUUCCCGGUGUAGUGGUGAAAUGCAUAGAUAUCGGGAGGAACACCAGUGGCGAAAGCGGCCUCCUGGGCUGUUUCUGACACUGAGGCUCGAAAGCGUGGGUAGCGAACAGAAUUAGAUACUCUGGUAGUCCACGCCGUAAACGAUGGACACUAGGUAUGGGGAGUAUCGACCCUCUCUGUGCCGUAGCUAACGCGUUAAGUGUCCCGCCUGGGGACUACGGCCGCAAGGCUA
This 377-nucleotide ribosomal RNA is filed under the name uncultured bacterium. RNAcentral's name for it is "bacterial SSU rRNA". It matches the Rfam family "Bacterial small subunit ribosomal RNA", at positions 521 to 896 of the family's 1533-position model. The record is from RNAcentral.